GACGAACGCUGGCGGCGGGCUUAACACAUGCAAGUCGAACGGAAAGGCCCUGCUUGUGUGGGGUGCUCGAGGGGCGAACGGGUGAGUAACACGUGAGUAACCUGCCCUUGACGGUGGGAUAACUGCAGGAAACCGGGGCUAAUACCGGAGAGGAGCUCGUGCUGCAGGGGGGGGGUUGGAAAGUUUCGGCGGUUGGGGAUGGACUCGCGGCUUAUCAGCUUGUUGGUGGGGGAGUGGCUUACCAAGGGUUUGACGGGUAGCCGGCCUGGGAGGGUGGCCAGGCCCCUUGGUCCUGCGGUAGGGAGCAGUCUGCUACGGUGGGCAACGGGGGGGAGUAUUGCCCAGUGGUCGGGCGUCUGAUGCGAAGGCGUCCGGUUUGGGAUGCCGUCCUUCGGGUUGUGAACCGCUUUCGCCUGUUACGAAGCGUGAGUGACGGUAAUGGGUAAAGAAGCACCGGCUAACUACGUG
Molecule: ribosomal RNA, 468 nt
Filed under: uncultured bacterium
Lineage: Bacteria
Description: partial 16S ribosomal RNA
Rfam family: Bacterial small subunit ribosomal RNA
Source: RNAcentral